CCUACGGGAGACAGCAGUGGGGAAUAUUGCACAAUGGGGGAAACCCUGAUGUAGCGACGCCGCGUGAAGGAAGAAGUAUUUCGGUAUGUAAACUUCUAUCAGCAGGGAAGAAAAUGACGGUACCUGACUAAGAAGCCCCGGCUAACUACGUGCCAGCAGCCGCGGUCAUACGUAGGGGGCAAGCUUUAUCCGGAUUUACUGGGUGUAAAGGGAGCGUAGGCGGUAAUGCAAGUCAGAAGUGAAAGCCCGGGGCUCAACGUCGGGACUGCUUUUGAAACUGUGUUGCUAGAUUGCAGGAGAGGUAAGAGGAAUGCCUAGUGUAGCGGUGAAAUGCGUAGAUAUUAGGAGGAACACCAGUGGCGAAGGCGGCUUACUGGACUGUAAAUGACGCUGAGGCUCGAAAGCGUGGGGAGCAAACAGGAUUAGAUACCCGAGUAGUC
This 440-nucleotide ribosomal RNA is filed under the name uncultured bacterium. RNAcentral's name for it is "partial 16S ribosomal RNA". It matches the Rfam family "Bacterial small subunit ribosomal RNA", at positions 338 to 795 of the family's 1533-position model. The record is from RNAcentral.